GAUGAACGCUGGCGGCGUGCCUAAUACAUGCAAGUCGAGCGAACAGACGAGGAGCUUGCUCCUCUGACGUUAGCGGCGGACGGGUGAGUAACACGUGGAUAACCUACCUAUAAGACUGGGAUAACUUCGGGAAACCGGAGCUAAUACCGGAUAAUAUAUUGAACCGCAUGGUUCAAUAGUGAAAGACGGUUUUGCUGUCACUUAUAGAUGGAUCCGCGCCGCAUUAGCUAGUUGGUAAGGUAAUAGCUUACCAAGGCAACGAUGCGUAGCCGACCUGAGAGGGUGAUCGGCCACACUGGAACUGAGACACGGUCCAGACUCCUACGGGAGGCAGCAGUAGGGAAUCUUCCGCAAUGGGCGAAAGCCUGACGGAGCAACGCCGCGUGAGUGAUGAAGGUCUUCGGAUCGUAAAACUCUGUUAUUAGGGAAGAACAAAUGUGUAAGUAACUAUGCACGUCUUGACGGUACCUAAUCAGAAAGCCACGGCUAACUACGUG
RNAcentral lists this ribosomal RNA (497 nucleotides) under uncultured bacterium. Its description in RNAcentral is "partial 16S ribosomal RNA". It matches the Rfam family "Bacterial small subunit ribosomal RNA", at positions 28 to 507 of the family's 1533-position model. The record is from RNAcentral.